AGCGAACGCUGGCGGCAGGCCUAACACAUGCAAGUCGAACGGAUCCUUCGGGAUUAGUGGCGGACGGGUGAGGAACACGUGGGAACGUGCCCGUUGGUUCGGAACAACUCAGGGAAACUUGAGCUAAUACCGGAUGUGCUCUUCGGGGGAAAGAUUUAUCGCCAUUGGAGCGGCCCGCGUCUGAUUAGCUAGUUGGUGAGGUAACGGCCCGCCAAGGGGACGAUGAGUAGCUGGUCUGAGAGGAUGAUCAUCCACACUGGGGAUGAGACACGGACCAGACUCGUACGGAGGGGAGCAGUGGGGAAUAUUGCGCAAGGGGCGAAAGCCUGACGCAGCCAUGCCGCGUGAAUGAUGAAGGUCUUAGGAUUGUAAAAUUCUUUCAGCGGGGACGAUAAUGACGGUACCCGCAGAAGAAGCUCCGGCUAACUUCGUG
This 433-nucleotide ribosomal RNA is filed under the name uncultured bacterium. Its description in RNAcentral is "partial 16S ribosomal RNA". It matches the Rfam family "Bacterial small subunit ribosomal RNA", at positions 29 to 507 of the family's 1533-position model. The record is from RNAcentral.